GAUGAACACUAGCUACAGGCUUAACACAUGCAAGUCGAGGGGUGACGAGAGGAAAGCUUGCUUUCCUUGUCGACGACCGGCGCACGGGUGAGUAACGCGUAUCCAACCUGCCCCCAACUAGGGAAUAACCUUGCGAAAGUAAGACUAAUACCCUAUAAUUUCCUCAGAUGCCAUCUGACGAGGAAUAAAGAUUUAUCGGUUGUGGAUGGGGAUGCGUCUGAUUAGCUUGUUGGCGGGGUAACGGCCCACCAAGGCAACGAUCAGUAGGGGUUCUGAGAGGAAGGUCCCCCACAUUGGAACUGGGACACGGUCCAAACUCCUACGGGAGGCAGCAGUGAGGAAUAUUGGUCAAUGGGCGGAAGCCUGAACCAGCCAAGUAGCGUGCAGGAUGACGGCCCUAUGGGUUGUAAACUGCUUUUAUACAGGAAUAAAGUUAGCCACGUGUGGUUAUUUGUAGGUACUGUAUGAAUAAGGACCGGCUAAUUCCGUGCCAGCAGCCGCCGUAA
This 506-nucleotide ribosomal RNA is filed under the name uncultured bacterium. RNAcentral describes it as "partial 16S ribosomal RNA". It matches the Rfam family "Bacterial small subunit ribosomal RNA", at positions 28 to 523 of the family's 1533-position model. The record is from RNAcentral.